GGACACUGAAUCUAUCAGGAAGAUAGUCUCUAGUUUUGCCCAAAUUGAUCAAAUUAGUCGCAGAACCUUGGAUAGCAGAGAUCGUACUAUCUUUGAACUUACAUUCUACUAUGAAAAUCUAGAGGACAUCCCUUGCUCCAUAAAUGUGGUUCUCAGAGAUGCGACCUACCUAAUUUCUAUUUCCAUUCAUAAUGCUGAAGCUGGCCAUCCAUCCUCUUCUAUUAUUCAUCCAUGAGUAGAUUUUGAGCC
Molecule: long non-coding RNA, 249 nt
Filed under: Elaeis guineensis (African oil palm)
Lineage: Eukaryota; Viridiplantae; Streptophyta; Magnoliopsida; Arecales; Arecaceae
Description: long non-coding RNA (EGUI_LNC052585)
Source: RNAcentral